Salvia splendens (bonfire salvia) is the source of this 1585-nucleotide long non-coding RNA. RefSeq lists it as uncharacterized. The record is from RefSeq and is a predicted model, not a curated record. The transcript is spliced from 2 exons. Lineage: Eukaryota; Viridiplantae; Streptophyta; Magnoliopsida; Lamiales; Lamiaceae.
UACUCUCCCAUCCGUCUACUGCCUCUCUCCUUUCUCUUCUCCCCAAUUUCUCAUUUCUUCUUCAAAAACCCCAAAUGAAAUAGGCAAACCCUAGCUCCAUCGCCACUGUACCGGAUCCUACUUCUCCUUCCUCUCUCGAACCCUCGCCUCUCUCUGGCUUUUCACUACGUCCCCAAUCUGGAGCAAACAAAAAUAUGAAUCCAAUCCUCCAACUGAGACGGGGGUCUAGACCGGAGGAAGGAACCAGCGUCGCCGUCAUCUCCUCUCCGGCGCUCGCACAGCAGCUGCUGGAAUCAGCAGUGCUCGCCGACGCUUCGCGAGGCAUCAGCCGUCGCUGUCGAUUCGCACCGCUGGUUCGAGGUCGCCGCUGCACCAGGGAGUUCCCGUGGCUGAUUUCGCGGCUUCGCCGUCGCCGGUGGUCUCCGAGCCCCUCUGCCUUAAAGCUAAGCCCCCCCUUUCUAUAAGUUAAGACUUCUAUUGUCUUCUCUAGCAUAAUGCGUUAUGGUUUAGAUAGCAACUCUGUUAGUCUAAUUAUUUGAGCUUACUGUUGAGAUUAUAAGCUUUGAGGCAGUCUAUGAUUGUUCUUGUUUCAAAAUUGUGUGAUGCGGGAAAUCUAAAGCUCUAAGUUCUUGAGUAUGAGAUUCGAAUAUGAUGCAGAGGGGAGUAUUUUGAUUACCUGUUGGGACCAUGAUUUGUAAGGUAUUCUCUUGCUGGACUUACACCACUAUUCUAACUUCUAGGAGAUUUCCAAGUAUGGAAAUGAGAAAGUGUUGUGGUGUAUGGUGGGGUUUUUAUAGGUGAUUUGGUAACUACAAAUCUGCUACUCUUGAUCCUCUUGCAGGGACAUUUUUGUUGGUUGUGAGAGUGUACUCAUGUUUGUUACAAAAACCGAUUCCCAUUUUGUUUUCCAUAUGCCACAUAUCUUCCCUUCAUGAUCCUGCAGUACUUUUUAAUUAAUGUUGCUUGGUGUUUAGCUUGGGACAAAAAGGACUCUUGAAAUUAUGUUUCUUGUUUGAUUUCUGCAGUGUGUACAUAGGGCUGGGGUGGUUGUUAACUGUAGCUCUGCAGCGUCCUAUUUCUCUAUUCUUUUGCAGCAUAAACACUGAGGUCUUUUUACGGUUUUGCAGGUGUAAGGUGAAGCAGGGGCAGGUGGCAGGAGUGCAGGGUGUUGCUGCAGCCUCUCUUCCCUCGCCGGACUCGCGGCAGCCUUGGCCGUAGAGUGCAGUCCGCUGCAGGGGUUGUCUGCCAUCUUUAUGUGCAGCUCCUUCCCACUCAUAGAAAGGGAAAAGAGACUAUUCGUUGCCGGCUAUUAGCUCAUUUCCUCGGCCCAUCAUCCGUCGGCAGUUGAGGCAACAACCGGUGUUAAACAUGUCGUAGCUAGUUCACACUCCUUCCUCAUAUUGUAGAAGAGUAGCUCUACAUGUAACUUUCUUCAAUAUGAAAUAGCUAGUUGGCGAGUAUUUCGUUUGUCUUUGUUUUUGUCGUCAAGCAUUUUGUGAAAUUAAGCUUAACUUGGAACUUCUAAUUAUCAUGUUUGGUUCACUCAAGAAUAUAAUUAAAUACCCUUUCAUCUUCCUUAAAUAAA